Molecule: ribosomal RNA, 499 nt
Filed under: uncultured bacterium
Lineage: Bacteria
Description: bacterial SSU rRNA
Rfam family: Bacterial small subunit ribosomal RNA
Source: RNAcentral
CGCUGGCGGCGUGCCUAAGACAUGCAAGUCGUGCGAGAAAGCCACCUUCGGGUGGUGAGUAGAGCGGCGCACGGGUGAGUAACGCGUGGGUAGCCUGCCUUCGGGUCUGGGAUAACCUCGGGAAACUGGGGCUAAUACCGGAUGAGACCACGAUGUCCUCGGACUUCGCGGAAAAAGGUGGCCUCUUCAUGAAAGCUACCGCCUGGAGAUGAGCCCGCGUCCCAUUAGCUUGUUGGUGAGGUAACGGCUCACCAAGGCGACGAUGGGUAGCUGGUCUGAGAGGAUGAUCAGCCACACUGGAACUGAGACACGGUCCAGACUCCUACGGGAGGCAGCAGUCGGGAAUUUUGGGCAAUGGGCGAAAGCCUGACCCAGCAACGCCGCGUGAGGGAUGAAGGCCUUCGGGUCGUAAACCUCUGUCGGGAGGGAAGAACCGUCUUGGGUCGAACAGACCCGGGAUCUGACGGUACCUCCAAAGGAAGCGCCGGCUAACUCCGUG